Molecule: long non-coding RNA, 201 nt
Filed under: Gallus gallus (chicken)
Lineage: Eukaryota; Metazoa; Chordata; Aves; Galliformes; Phasianidae
Source: RNAcentral
CAGGAAUCAAAUAUCAUGCUAGUCUUUCAGCAAUGAAGACGCUGGCUAGAGGGCUCAGAGCUUUGGUCUUGAUGUAUUUCCCUUUUACUGCUGCUACUUUCCAGUCAUGCAGGUCUCUGCUUUUAGUGUUGACUUUGGGAUGCUAGGCUGUAAUGAUCCAGGAGAUGAAUGGACAUCCUCUGCAAUCCACUUCAGCUCCUC